GGGCGCUUAGUUUAAUUGGGAAAAUACCUGACUUGCAAUCAGGAGUUCUGGGUUCGACUCCCAGUUUGUCCACCA
This 75-nucleotide transfer RNA is filed under the name Pectobacterium phage Wc4. Its description in RNAcentral is "tRNA-Ala". It matches the Rfam family "tRNA". Rfam says of the family: Transfer RNA (tRNA) molecules are approximately 80 nucleotides in length. Their secondary structure includes four short double-helical elements and three loops (D, anti-codon, and T loops). The record is from RNAcentral. Lineage: Duplodnaviria; Heunggongvirae; Uroviricota; Caudoviricetes; Andersonviridae. RNAcentral also lists the same sequence under 1 other name.